This 328-nucleotide unclassified non-coding RNA is filed under the name soil metagenome. RNAcentral describes it as "partial contains 5.8S ribosomal RNA, internal transcribed spacer 2, and large subunit ribosomal RNA". The stretch from base 1 to 120 matches the Rfam family "5.8S ribosomal RNA", at positions 35 to 154 of the family's 154-position model. The record is from RNAcentral.
GAUGAAGAACGUAGCGAAAUGCGAUAAGUAAUGUGAAUUGCAGAAUUCAGUGAAUCAUCGAAUCUUUGAACGCACAUUGCGCCCCUUGGUAUUCCGAGGGGCAUGCCUGUUCGAGCGUCAUUAUAACCCCUCAAGCUCAGCUUGGUGUUGGGGCAUGCCGCACGGGCAGCCCUUAAAAUCAGUGGCGGUGCCAUCUGGCUCUAAGCGUAGUAAUUCUUCUCGCUAUAGAGUCCCGGUGGAUGCUUGCCAUUAACCCCCAAUUUUCUAUGGUUGACCUCGGAUCAGGUAGGGAUACCCGCUGAACUUAAGCUUAUCAAUAAGCGGAGGA